AUAACAGUUAGAAAUGACUGCUAAUACCGCAUAAAACAGCAGAGUCGCAUGACUCAACUGUCAAAGAUUUAUCGGUGUAAGAUGGACCCGCGUCUGAUUAGCUAGUUGGUGGGGUAACGGCCUACCAAGGCGACGAUCAGUAGCCGGCCUGAGAGGGUGAACGGCCACAUUGGGACUGAGACACGGCCCAAACUCCUACGGGAGGCAGCAGUGGGGAAUAUUGGACAAUGGGCGAAAGCCUGAUCCAGCGACGCCGCGUGAGCGAUGAAGUAUUUCGGUAUGUAAAGCUCUAUCAGCAGGGAAGAAAACGACGGUACCUGACUAAGAAGCCCCGGCUAACUACGUGCCAGCAGCCGCGGUAAUACGUAGGGGGCAAGCGUUAUCCGGAUUUACUGGGUGUAAAGGGAGCGUAGACGGCAUCACAAGUCAGAAGUGGAAAUCCGGGGCUCAACCCCGGAACUGCUUUUGAAACUGUGGAGCUGGAGUGCAGGAGAGGUAAGCGGAAUUCCUAGUGUAGCGGUGAAAUGCGUAGAUAUUAGGAGGAACACCAGUGGCGAAGGCGGCUUACUGGACUGUAACUGACGUUGAGGCUCGAAAGCGUGGGGAGCAAACAGGAUUAGAUACCCUGGUAGUCCACGCCGUAAAC
This 646-nucleotide ribosomal RNA is filed under the name uncultured bacterium. Its description in RNAcentral is "bacterial SSU rRNA". It matches the Rfam family "Bacterial small subunit ribosomal RNA", at positions 143 to 807 of the family's 1533-position model. The record is from RNAcentral.